AUGGAGAGCACCCGCAAGAGCAAGUCCAUGGCCAUGGCAAAGAUCGUGGAGGAGGAGGAGCAGGAGGAGGAGGACGACGAGGCCGAAGACCCCAGCCUAAGCUGUGGCUGCUUCUUCUGCGCCAUCAAGCAGCCGGACGCGCGACUCCGCCGCGCCAGCGUCGCCGCGUUCUUCCGGGAGCUUCCUUACAGCGGGCACGACGACGGUGGGGCGGUCGCCGCCGUGUGGCGCGCGGCCAUGGACGCGCCCGAGGACCCGGAGCUCCCGUCGCUCGGCGCCAUCCGGUGCAUGUCCCUCCUCCUGGCCCGCGCGCUCGCCGACGCGGCGUGGUGCCGCCGCGUCCAGAACGCGUGCGUGCCGUACUACGCCGCCCACGUCGUCGGCUCCUACACCAUCCGCUCCUCCGCGCACGCCGAGCUGGCCGUAGCCGCCGGCGCCGUGCGCCCCUUGCUGGCCCUCCUCGGCGGCGCCAUGACGUGGGUCGAGCGGCGCGCCGCCGCGCGCGCUCUGGGCCACCUCGCCAGCUACGACGCCACGUUCCCCGCCGUCGCGCGGUGUGCCGACGAGGCGGUGCCUCUCGCCGUGCACGCCGCGUCCACGUGCAUCGGCGAUGUGUACGCGAACUACGUCGCGCUGGCGCCGAGCAAGCGUCCUAAGUACCAGCGCGACCUCUUGACGCGCGGGCUCGCCGGUGGUGGCAUCGACGCAGCCGAGGACCGGAAGGCCGAGGAAUGGGCGAGCCAGCUCCAGUGCUGGUCGCUCUACUUCCUGAGCUGCCUAGCCUCUAGAGACCCGUCAUCUCAUGCCACGAUCUGCCAGGACCCCGGUUUCUUGAGCGAGCUGUGCCGGAUGUGGGGCGGGUUGGCCAACGGCGACUCGCCCGCAGGCGUCGGGCUGCUUCGCCUUCUCUGCCGAAGUGCCGUCGGCCGCGGCGCCAUCGCGGCGUGCCCAGACGCGCUCUCCGGCCUGUGCGACCUCGCGCGGUCGUCCGAUGACUGGCAGUACAUGGCCAUCGACUGCCUGCUCCUCCUUCUCGACGACCGCGAAACUUGGCACGCCGUCGCUAAUGCCACAGCGCCGUGCCUCGUGGACCUGGCCGAGCUCCGGCGUCUUGGUCCAAGGCGACGGCUCGGCGAUGCCAUAACAAACGCGCUGCUUCUUGACGAUGACGACGACGGCCAUGUACGUGUCCGCGCGCUAGGCGCGGAAGCAAAGGAAGCAGUUGCUAGCUUGCGCGAGGUAAAGAUCGAGAGGAAGGAGAGGGAAGAAGCAAUGUCUCGGGACGAGCUACUCGAGAGAAAGCUUCUGGCCAAGGAGAAGAAGAGACAAGGCAACGACAUGUUCUGGCACGGCGAAGUGGACAAGGCCAUCGAGCUCUACACGGAGGCGCUGGAGCUGUGCCCGCUGAGCGGGAGGCGGGAUCGUCUGGUGCUGCACAGCAACCGCGCGCAGUGCCGGCUCGCGCGGCGGGAGGCCGACGCGGCGGCGAGCGACGCGACGCGCGCGCUCUCGCUGGCGCGGCCGGCAAACGCGCACGCCAGGAGCCUGUGGCGCCGCGCACAGGCGUACGACAUGAAGGGCGGCAUGGCCAGGGAGAGCCUCCUGGACUGCCUGGCCUUCGCCGGCGCGUGGAUCGACGGCCGGAAGCACGGGAGGCAGCAGCCGGCAGCGCGCGGCGCCAACCAGCAGAAGCUACCGUACUGCGUCGCCCGGAUGAUCGGUAAGCAGAUGGGCGCGACGGGGCUCUUCGCCGGCGUGUCGGCAGGUGGUGGCAAGGUAGGAAGGGAUGAUCGCAUAGGUAGCGAUGAUCGCAUGCCACGAUGCAGCGACGGCGACGAUGAUUGCGACGACGAGGAAUAUGACGAUGGCGACGAUUGUGAUCAUGAUGGAAGCGAGGAGGAAUUCUACGACACUGAACUGAGGUUUUGUAGAUCAGGUAGCGGUUUGCCGAUCAUGGCAGAAGAGACUUGGAGCAGCAGAUUGGCCCCAAGGAAGAAGAAGAUGUGA
This 2007-nucleotide ribosomal RNA is filed under the name Triticum aestivum (bread wheat). RNAcentral describes it as "partial small subunit ribosomal RNA". The record is from RNAcentral. Lineage: Eukaryota; Viridiplantae; Streptophyta; Magnoliopsida; Poales; Poaceae.